This 494-nucleotide ribosomal RNA is filed under the name uncultured bacterium. Its description in RNAcentral is "partial 16S ribosomal RNA". It matches the Rfam family "Bacterial small subunit ribosomal RNA", at positions 28 to 507 of the family's 1533-position model. The record is from RNAcentral.
GACGAACGCUGGCGGCGUGCUUAACACAUGCAAAUCGAACGGAAAGGCCUGCUUUCCCUUGUGGAUUGCGGGUACUCGAGUGGCGAACGGGUGAGUAACACGUGAGUGAUCUGCCCCCAACUUGGGUAUAAGCCUGGGAAACUGGGUCUAAUUCCCGAUAGGACUGCAGGGUGGUGCCUGUGGUGGAAAACGAUUUUCUAGUGGUUGGGGAUGAGCUCGCGGCCUAUCAGCUUGUUGGUGGGGUAAUGGCCUACCAAGGCGGCGACGGGUAGCCGGCCUGAGAGGGUGGACGGCCACAUUGGGACUGAGAUACGGCCCAGACUCCUACGGGAGGCAGCAGUGGGGAAUAUUGCACAAUGGGCGGAAGCCUGAUGCAGCGACGCCGCGUGGGGGAUGACGGCCUUCGGGUUGUAAACUCCUUUCGACCGCGAGGAAGCCACCUGGUUGGAAGGGUGGUGACGGUAGUGGUAGAAGAAGCACCGGCUAACUACGUG